UACUGUAUAUAUAUAUAUUGCAAAUCAUAUAAUUCCAAAGAAAAGUUGGUUAAUUUUAUCCAUUGAAUGUCUUCAUAACUCACUCAGUCGGUAACGAAAAUCUAUCCGAUAAAAUACAGAUUUCAGUCCUUCUGUCAAAAAAACUGUUAAAGAAUCUUUUU
Molecule: long non-coding RNA, 161 nt
Organism: Apis dorsata (giant honeybee)
Lineage: Eukaryota; Metazoa; Arthropoda; Insecta; Hymenoptera; Apidae
Exons: 3
Source: RefSeq, a predicted model, not a curated record